UUUGAGUGUAGAUUUUGCAAUCAAAAUCUUGACCACAUUUUAACAUUCUCCCUUCAGUCUUCUAAUUCUCAGUCAGAGGUCAUCAUUGUCACUUUGUGGCUUGACUUUGCAGCCACGUCUUCCAAAGGCCUGUUGUCUUCUCACCCCAGCACCCGCAGGACGUCUGCAGGGAAGCUACGUUGCCUCCCUGAGGGCCUGCAGGCCUGCUGUGAUCCAGCACCGUCAUAGCCAGACACCUUUACCUUGUUUGCUCAAGAAUAUUGUGCAACAGUGGACCUUCAUGGUUUCCAAGCAGAAAAAUGCUGUUUGACCACUGAGCAAAUUCUUCUUGACUGCUUUGGAUUAAGAAUUGCUACUCUGGUGAAAUUAAGCCAAAGUGUCAUUCAGGAAGCAAGAUGUUUCGUUUGAACAGAACAUAAAUCAAAGCUGGAAGUAGGGGCUGCCUAGUCUCCCUGUUCUGAAGCCCUCUUGACUCUGUGAAUUCCAUCACCAAAUCCUUGCUUCCAGACCUCAGGAACAUGGCUUCAACAAGUCUGUCUAUGCCAAACCCAUGCUUCCCAUUGCUUUCAUUCUGAAGCUUCUAGGGCUGUUUCAAGAAUGCAAUGCAAAAUUAAAAUUUCAUGGAAUAUUAAGCAAUUCUUUCUAAUAGAAAGCCAGUAAAAUUGUCAAAUUUCAUUGAUCACCAAGCCAUGUAGAUGACUGGCCAGUUUGAAAGGUCCACACUAUGGUUUGAAUCUUCGUUUCCUCACCAAAAUCCAUGUUCAAACUUAAAACCCAUUGUGGUGAUAUUAAGAGGUGUGUUCUUUGGGAGGUGAUUAAGUCAUCUAUGGCAUUAGCACCUUAUAAAAGGGCUCAGGGAUGAAGGGAGCACCCUCUUGCCUUCCUAUCUCUUCCUCCAUGUAAGGACAUUGCUUUCCUCCUCUGGGGAGGAUGCAGCAACAAGGCGCCAUCUUGAAAGCAGAGAGCAGCCCUCAACAGACACCACUUCUACUGGCUUCUUGAUCUUGGACUCUCAGCCUCCAGAACCAUGAGAAAUAAACUUCUGUUCUUUUAUCAAUUAUCCAGUCUCGGGUACUUU
RNAcentral lists this long non-coding RNA (1078 nucleotides) under Homo sapiens (human). RNAcentral describes it as "HSALNT0115013". The record is from RNAcentral. Lineage: Eukaryota; Metazoa; Chordata; Mammalia; Primates; Hominidae.